Hydra vulgaris (swiftwater hydra) is the source of this 1609-nucleotide non-coding RNA. NCBI's taxonomy places the organism in Eukaryota, Metazoa, Cnidaria, Hydrozoa, Anthoathecata, Hydridae. The record is from RefSeq and is a predicted model, not a curated record.
CAAAUUUUUUCAGAUCGGUAUAAAGUUAAUGUCGAAAUCAAAGUUAUUUUGGUUAAUUUUUUUACCUUUGGCUUUGUCACCAUCUGCUAUGGUUGUCCAAUCAACUCAGCCUUCCACUGUUCCAUCUACAUCUGAAACAGUUGAUUUAGAUGAUGUGAUGUCUGAAAGAAUUUUUGGCAGAAAACUCUGUCAUGAAUGGUAUGAUUCUGACUCAUCAAAGUCUAUCAUUUAUGAUGGUAGACUAGAAAAAGUAAGCAAAAGACAAAAUGAUAGAAUUUACACUAUUUCUUACUGGAAACAAGAUAAAACUGAUAUUGAAGCUGUUGAGCAUAAGGUGAAAAAAAUCCAGCUAGCUGCUGAUGUUGUAUUAGAUGAGUUAAUAUUUUCUUAGUUUGAAUAUGAAAUAUUGUAAAAAUGCUUGAAAAAAAAGUUCUACAAGUUUUGUGGCUUGCAAACAAGUACUUUAAGGUUUGUGGAUUGCAAAUAGGUACAACAGGUUUUGUGGCUUGCAAACAAGAACAGCAAGUUUUGUGGCUUGCCAUUAGGUAAAACAAGUAUUGUGGCAAUUAAAAAAUCAAUCAUUUACUAAAAGCCAAGACAAUGGUUAAUUACUUUUUUUAUUUCAAAAGACUUGCUGCUUUGUGUUUUUGUUUAGGUUGGAGUUCAACAACAAACUUGCUUUACCUAAUGGCAAGCCACAAAACUUGUUGUACUUGUUUGCAAGCCACAAAACUUUCUGUAUCUAUUUGUAGUCUUGUAACAUGGUAUUGGGCGGAAGAGGGUGGCUUCCACCCCCUUUCAUGAAGGCAAUUUAUACACCACUGUAACGUGGUAAAAUAGUGUUUUAUAGUGUUUAAAAAGCAUUUUUAAACAUAUUUUGUUAAUUCUCAUUAAAACUUUUUUUUACGUAUUGGGCGGAAGGGGGGCGGCUUACACCCCCUUUCAUGAAGUCAAUUUAUACACCACUAGUUACUAUUUUUCCAAGUAUCAAAAUAAAUUUUUAUUUUUUAUACUGAAAUUAAUUGUUUUAGUAAAGAUUGAAAUAUUUAAAAGAAUGAAAUUUUGAUAUGGUGUGUUAAACCUUAUUCAAAACCCAAAACCCGACUUUGAGAUAGACUUGUAUAUUCACUAGUGAUGUGGAAUAAAAUAAUAACAAUUUUUUGUAUAUAGAUAUUUGUAAUUUUAAAAGAAAAACACUUUUUUAUGAAAAAAAGUGUGUUUUUGUGAGGUGUAGGUGGUGGUUUAGCCCUCCUCCGGAUCCCUGGAUGCGCCCUUGACCUAAAAUUGAAUUGAAAAUUAUAGCCCUUUUUUACACCUAUCUUUUGAUACCAAAUAUGCCCUAAUAUACAUUCCUACCAUCUAUGGUCAUCACAAACGCUUUCAUUGCGAAAAUAAUAGCAACUGCCUCGUUCGACUUUUUCAACAAUCGGGUUACAAAUACUUGGAAUGCUCUGAUGGAUGAUGUUGUCAACGCCUUUACUAUUGACAGUUUCAAAAAAAAAUUAGACCAGCAACUCACAUAGUUACCACAGUGCAUCAUUUUCCGUGGCUGUAUUAUCACAGCUAUACGAGCUAGCUUGCUAGCUAAUGAUGAACUUACGGUUCAUAU